Molecule: non-coding RNA, 138 nt
Organism: Brachypodium distachyon (stiff brome)
Lineage: Eukaryota; Viridiplantae; Streptophyta; Magnoliopsida; Poales; Poaceae
Source: Rfam
CUUGCAGGAUAGUGUGUAUUGGCUUAACGCUUUGUUUUAUGCGUCUUAUGCUGAAAGUGUUUCCUGCUAUAUCAAUAUGGAAAGUGGGCAGUUGGGUUAAGCUUUGUGCUUUCUUCAACAAUCAUUCUCCAUUCAUCU